Long non-coding RNA from Anser cygnoides (Swan goose), 1480 nucleotides. NCBI's taxonomy places the organism in Eukaryota, Metazoa, Chordata, Aves, Anseriformes, Anatidae. The record is from Ensembl.
AUGCUCUGGUGGGAUAGGACCCUGCUGGAUCCUCCCCUCCCCUUCACAUCCCACCAUUUCUCCUCGCAGGAAUGUGAAAUAAUCUGUUUUUUGGCUCAAAUCAGAGCAGCGGAAGGAACCCCCUCCCUCCCUCAGGCUGGGUUGGGAAGAACCUGGAUGGUUUUUGUGAAAACUGCUUGCAGCAGAGCCCUGCCACGGGAAAGUGGGAUGAGGCUGAGCAGAAGGGGCAGGGAGCAAUUGAGGAUGGUCCAGGAGCUGGAGUCAAUGCCCUCCUGGGUGACCCCAGGUCCUGCACGUCACCCCAAGUGCAGAGCUCUCGCUGCACGCCUGCAGAGGACUCGGGUGUGCAGGGAGGGUUUGGAAGAACAAAGGGCUGUCGAAAACCUCAUCUGGCUAAUCCCAUGGCGACCUGACAUCAUCCUCAGCGUGGAGAACAAGGUGGCAAGCCUGCGAGCACGCCGCCUCUACCCGGCCAAUUAAAUUGUGUCCGCUCCGUCAUGAAUUAUGUAUCUAUGCAUUUCCAUUUCACUUCUGCUGCUUGUUUUUGAUGAAAUUCGCCUCUGCUGAUAAGGAUUAAGCGACCUGCUUCAGAGCGUGGCACUGUGCUCAGCAAGGCUGGGGUGUUGCAUGCCCGGGGCAGGGUGAGUGCUGCAGAGGCUUUCAGCAUUCUCCUCCACUGCCUCCAGGAGCCGGGAUCAGAGGCAAAUGCAAACCAGGGGUGGGCAUCCAAGUGCGAGAGGUUUCAGGGAGGUUUGGGUGUCUUUUGCUGUCUGGACACAGUCCUGGAAAACUCUCAGUGUCCUUGCUUGAGCAGAGGUUGGACCAGAGGACCUCUCAGGAAUCAUAACCCAGGGAGGCUGGCAUGAAAUCAUCAUCUCUGUCUUCCUCUGCCUCUUGUCUUGCCCCUGGGGACAGUAGCCCAGCGUGCUGUCCCGUGCACAAGUCACAGCCCUGCUUUGGGCAGGGGACAAGCCUGCAUCCAAACCAUUAGGACACAUGGCCCUGGUUGGAAGAGGUCACCAGUUAAAGACAUGAGAUGUCACGGAGACAUUUGCAAAUAUUGGUCAAACGCAAACAGCUGAGUGCGUGUGGACCUGCUGGUGUCGUCAGAGACAGAAGCCAGGGAGGGUUUGUCCUGGUUAAACACUGUCUGGAGAGGAGGAAGGUGUGCGUGUGUCUGCCCUGGACAUGUCCAAAGGGUGGGCAGUGUCCACCAAGGGGCUCAAGGACAGCCCCGCUGCCAGUCCUCAGGAUCACUUGCCCUGUGCAAAGUCAGGAGCAUUCCUACAGCAGGAGCUCCUGCGAGGGAGCUCUCCACUGGGUAAGACGGUGGCAGGUGCCCAGAGAAAAGUGAAAAAUAGGGCCAGUGUUGGGGAACAGUGUUGUUUUCCUCUGCGCAGCUUUCAAGCCACUCUGCCCCAAGCCUGUAGAGUUGCAUGGUCCCUUGCUUGUCCCCUCUGAAGACAUGCCCGGGAGCAUG